UCGCCAAAAUUGCUGUGAUCUGUUUGCAAGUGAAAUCAUAUCACAGCCAUCUUGACGACU
This 60-nucleotide microRNA precursor is filed under the name Limulus polyphemus (Atlantic horseshoe crab). Its description in RNAcentral is "Lpo-Mir-2-P2l_pre stem-loop". The record is from RNAcentral. Lineage: Eukaryota; Metazoa; Arthropoda; Merostomata; Xiphosura; Limulidae.